RNAcentral lists this ribosomal RNA (253 nucleotides) under uncultured bacterium. Its description in RNAcentral is "partial 16S ribosomal RNA". It matches the Rfam family "Bacterial small subunit ribosomal RNA", at positions 524 to 776 of the family's 1533-position model. The record is from RNAcentral.
UACAGAGGCCUCGAGCGUUAGGCGGAAUCACUGGGCUUAAAGCGUGUGUAGGCGGACUUCUAAGUGCCUUGUGAAAUCCCACGGCUCACCCGUGGAACGGCUGGGCAUACUGGGAGUCUUGAGCCACCUAGGGGCUGCCGGAACAAAUGGUGGAGCGGUGAAAUGCGUAGAUAUCAGGAGGAACACCGGUGGUGUAAACGGCUUUCUGGACCAUAACUGACGCUGAGGCACGAAAGCGUGGGUAGCAAACAGG